AAAAUAUUCUUCCCAUAUAAUACACUAUUAUAAAAACAAAUGUGUUGAAAAAAAAGAGAGAGAGAGGGAAAGAGAGCAGCGCACGAGCAGUGAUAUCACAACCGAUAUGCGAGAAUCGAAUUACUCUGCAGAAGCGUGCUACAGACUUAUGAAUACAUCAAGCAUUGAGAGCGAGCAUUCGCUUAAUGUACAUGUACAUACAUACGUUUAUUCGAAAUUAUCGCAUAUCAUCGUCACUUAUCCUUAUCGUUCACUCGCCGUUCAUACCUUUGACUUGCAACGUAUAUACAACACAGCGUGUUUUGUGUGUGUGUGUGUGUGUGUGUGUGUCGUGUUUCUCUCCUCUCAUCUCCAUCCUGCUUCAGUCUUUCGAGUCGAUUAGUUAAAUAUAGACUGCUGAACCUAACCUCACCACUUUCCCGCGCCGCCAGAACUCGCUCUCGCACAUCCGAAAUUUAAUCACUGAAUGCUCGAUUGUAUCGAAAGAUACAUCAUAUAAUACUUGAUUUUAGCGAUUAUAGAAGCAAAAAAGGAAGUAAGAAUACGGGAUAUCUCGCAAAGCAGAUAAAUAAGAUAAAUAAGAUAACCUGUUUCCUUCUCUAUAUAAAAAUUGAUCGCAAAGACAGAAAAGCAUGAAAUUGUGAAUAAAUGUAUAUCCGCACGAGACAUAUUUCGUCGACAACACCGUUGCACUUGGCUCACGUGGUUAAGCUAGUCGCUAAGUUAAGAUUCCAAGAGCGCACUUACGGAAUGGGACAAUUCGUGAAAUCGCGAAAGCCUGCUGAAGCGCGAUUAACGGGAAUAUCUCUGCAGACUUACUUCAUCGUGCAAACGCGUAACCUUGGCUUUCAGGAGAGAUUCCUCGUACGCACCGAACGCAUUCUCUUUACAUGCAUUCCACAAUUCCAUCUCACGGUCGGCGAUAACACCAUGCUCGCGUAACAGCCCGCAAAUCCCAACACACUGAUUCGACUCGACUCGACUUCAAGCGACUGUCAGAUCUUUUCGAAGACUGCGAUCACGAGAUUUGCGAGGUUAAAGAUCAACACGCAACGUUGACGCUUGAGGUUAGAAUCGACAGGUAGCAGGCAGCAGUGGCGGCGCGCGACACGCAUGCGCCUGACGCUGCGCGGUUAAGCGUGAUUAGAUUUAGGUUAGGUUGCGCGUGCUAACAUGAGCUACGUUCUGCUGUUACUGCUGGAAAUACUCAUUCUUUGGAUGAGUAAGAAGGACGUGUGGUGAAUAAAAACGGCGGAAUAAUUUUGCCACUCUUGAUGAAGCACAGUUUAACAACAUGUAACAUCUCGUACUUGACACGUAACAGAAAUGUGGAAUAAAAUAAACAAUUAGCGGAAUUAAUUUACUCAUCUGUUUCUACAAGCAUAAAUCAUAAUAGAGCUUAUUCAAUACUUUUCGUCUUUUUCUAGGUUUUAUACGACAAUAAAUCAUAAAAAAGUAGGAAGGCAGAUAAACGUGAGCAGAAUGUAUCGAGCCAUAUACAUUUAUGUGACAACUCUAGAUAUCCUGGAGAGACGUCGUUUUGAAGAUUUUGUAUUUUUGAUUUGGCGAGUUUUCAAAGGUGCUUCGAGGUCAUAAACUAGAUAGAUAAAAAUAUAGUUCGCUAUACGUAUUAAAAGUUUCAAUCUCUCCGAUGCAAUAAGAAUUAUAAUUAUCGCAUAGUUUAUGUAAAAACAAAAAAACUUAUCAUAUCUGUAAUAAAAUGUACAAGUACAUGUAAUCUCAUUUCCCAGUCAAAAGGAUAUUAGAUUAAUAGCAGUAAUUGUUUUGCAAACGCAAAAGAAAUGUUGGUCUUUAUCUAACAAUUUUUCCAUAUUAUUUUUUAAUAGUAGUCUAUUGCAAAUGUGGAUGGCAAUUAAAUAAUGAUUAAUUAAUAAUAAAACAAUGUAAUUCAGAUUAACAGGAUAAAUAUAUUAUUAACAAUACACGGAUAAUUAAACUCCGUAUACUUAAACAAAUGUAUUGUGCUUGUAUGUUAAUAGUGAAAUGCUUCUUUAUAUGACACACAAAAAACAUUCUCUGGAAUUUCCCAAGAAACAUUCUCUUGAAUUUCUAAUAUUAUAAUUAUUAUUAAUAUACGUGAGAUACAAUACUAAAAACGUAUAUUGUCAAUAAAUAAAUCUUUUACGAGAAUACAAUAAAAGUUCUCGUUGAAAAAUUUAAUGCUCAUCAUUAAUAUUCAGACUGUUGCAAAAUACACAAAGUAUAUCAUUAAAACAAAUUUUAAUUGUUCUAUGCUGCUUUACAUAAUAAAUACUUCAUCAAUAACUACUUGCGAGAAAUUUUUCCACAGCAAUUAUUUCUAAUGAGUGGACGGGUGCAAAUAUAGAGUAUGCCAGUUUCUUAUAAUCUUUUGACGUUGAUAUUCCAAGAUUUUUAAACAACUUUGCUAAAGUCGAUAACCCCGCGUUUGUGCGCAUAUUACAAUAAAAACAAGAGAUACUGCUCGGUAUUAGUGCUACUGUUUUAGAAAUGAACAGCACGUGCUACGCCUAUCUUUCUUGAAUAUCUUUUCUUUCGGAAUUUGUAAUUCCGUAUUGUGCAUAUAUCCACAAAUUUCCCGGCGUCGUGCAUUCUUCGCUAUGUAAUAGGCUUAAAAUACGAUGCAAAUGGAGCCAAGAGGCUCGCAGUACAUAAAGUGUAUUCUAAGCUGCACGACACUUAUAUAACCGCAGCUAAAACUUCGCGCAGAUUGCGUUGUCUCAAGCAAAAAUAUCUCAUUUUUCCCAGUAGCCUGUAGUCUUGUAUGAUAAAAAUAUACUUUGAUGUAUCGUCGUCGUUAAAUAGAUUGACAAGCGUGUAAUGUAAUUGAUAGUGCGUUAACAGAUUUCAAUCAAUCUCUUUAAUUAAGAACAAGAGUAAUAUUUAAUAAAUAACUUUACAUCUCAGUUUUAUCCAAACACUACUGACAAGAUUUAUCUAUAGGGACAAAUAUAUAGCCAAUGUUCAAUAACUUAUAACAUUUACAAGUUUGAGUAAAAAUUAGUUAAAUCACUGAAUAGAGAUCACAUGAGUUUAAAAUGUGUUAACAAAACAAUAUUGAUUAUCUUUCACAAGAGAAUGUUAGAUUUAUACUUUCAGGACUGCCAUAAAAAUUUUCAGAUAUCUACAAAAAUUGAAAAUCAGUCAUUUGUCAUUGGACGGUUUGAUGUAUGCGCGCAAGAACAUUGUUCCUAAUCAAUAUUUUUCUCGGAGACGUACUUAGCGUCACUGCAUCAACUACAAAUGCCAAUAUACACAGUGACACAUGUACACAUAGAAGCGUUAUGUACUUGAAGGAAAAAGCUGUAGUCGCGUCACGUCGCAACGUUCUCUUGUUCUCAAAGCAUCCGUUCGCCAUCGUACGCUUUUGUGCGAUGCAAGACACCGUGUAGAAAGGUCAUAAUGAUCUCAUAUCUUUAUUCAUAAACAUUUGAGCGCCCGCAGGCGUAACGAGUAACGAGAAUAAAAGUCUUGCGAAUUUCCUGAUUUCAGAUAGACAGUAUAAGAUGCCAUGUAAAAAUUAAAUUAUUUAUAAUAAACUACUUACAAAUUUACGUUCUACGAAAUUAUUGAAUUUUUUAUAAAGCUUCUAAAAGCUUUUCUCAUAUCAAAUAAUAUUUUAUCAAUUUAAUAAAAAGUAUAUUUUGAUUUUGAUUUUAAUUGUGACUCGUCAAUGAUAAAUUUAGAAAGAAACCGUCGUAGCAAAAGCUUCUACUAAGCCAUGAGCUUAUAUAAUAAGAAGCUUAAGUUAAAGCUUAAGGCUUACAUAAGUAGAAGCUUAUGUAUCACUGUAAUAUUCUUCGGUCACUGAAUAGUACUACAACUCAUAUGUGCUUGUAUAAAACAAGUCCCGGCUUUUCCAUGUUUUGAUACAUGUAGAUACAUGUAGUUCUUAAGAAAUGUAAAUUUUCAGAAUUCUUAUUAUAAAGAUAUAUAUUAUUAAUUGUAAAAAUUUUUCACACGUAAAAGACAUAAUAUAUGCAACUUCACAAUCAAUUUAAUGUAACUAUAUAAUUCCAUUCAAUCAUUAAGAUUAAGUAUAACGAAUGAACAUUAAAGCAAUUAGGUAUUCUUAUUUUAUAUAAUUGCGUCUAUAAAAAUCUUGAGACAUUACUUAAUUCAAGUUCCGACUGCGAAGGGUCCAAGAUAAGGACCAUCAAAAUACGAUGAAACUAAUUAGUGCAACAAUGUUUGAUCAUUACGAUCAAUUGAUCACGAUUACUGUUUAAUAAUUUUGUUCCAUAAAAAAAGUACAUCCGCAAACCCAA
Molecule: long non-coding RNA, 4268 nt
Filed under: Ooceraea biroi (clonal raider ant)
Lineage: Eukaryota; Metazoa; Arthropoda; Insecta; Hymenoptera; Formicidae
Description: uncharacterized LOC105284434
Source: RNAcentral